Molecule: ribosomal RNA, 303 nt
Filed under: uncultured bacterium
Lineage: Bacteria
Description: partial 16S ribosomal RNA
Rfam family: Bacterial small subunit ribosomal RNA
Source: RNAcentral
AGCAGUCGCCGCGGUAAUACGGAGGGUGCAAGCGUUAAUCGGAAUUACUGGGCGUAAAGCGUGCGUAGGCGGUUCGUUAAGUCUGAUGUGAAGGCCCCCGGCUCAACCGGGGAGGGUCAUUGGAAACUGGGAAACUUGAGUGCAGAAGAGGAGAGUGGAAUUCCACGUGUAGCGGUGAAAUGCGUAGAGAUGUGGAGGAACACCAGUAGCGAAGGCGACUCUCUGGUCUGUAACUGACGCUGAGGAGCGAAAGCGUGGGGAGCGAACAGGAUUAGAUACCCCAGUAGUCCCUGUCUCUUAUAC